Molecule: ribosomal RNA, 163 nt
Filed under: Maackia amurensis
Lineage: Eukaryota; Viridiplantae; Streptophyta; Magnoliopsida; Fabales; Fabaceae
Description: 5.8S ribosomal RNA
Rfam family: 5.8S ribosomal RNA
About the family: 5.8S ribosomal RNA (5.8S rRNA) is a component of the large subunit of the eukaryotic ribosome. It is transcribed by RNA polymerase I as part of the 45S precursor that also contains 18S and 28S rRNA.
Source: RNAcentral
AAAAGACUCUCGGCAACGGAUAUCUCGGCUCUUGCAUCGAUGAAGAACGUAGCGAAAUGCGAUACUUGGUGUGAAUUGCAGAAUCCCGUGAACCAUCGAGUCUUUGAACGCAAGUUGCGCUCGAAGCCAUUAGGCCUAGGGCACGCCUGCCUGGGUGUCGCAC